Molecule: ribosomal RNA, 437 nt
Filed under: uncultured Lachnospiraceae bacterium
Lineage: Bacteria; Bacillati; Bacillota; Clostridia; Lachnospirales; Lachnospiraceae
Description: bacterial SSU rRNA
Rfam family: Bacterial small subunit ribosomal RNA
Source: RNAcentral
ACGGGAGGCAGCAGUGGGGAAUAUUGGGCAAUGGGCGAAAGCCUGACCCAGCGACGCCGCGUGAGGGAAGAAGGUCUUCGGAUUGUAAACCUUAGUCAACAGGGAAGAAGCAAGUGACGGUACCUGUGGAGGAAGCCACGGCUAACUACGUGCCAGCAGCCGCGGUAAUACGUAGGGGGCAAGCGUUAUCCGGAUUUACUGGGUGUAAAGGGAGCGUAGACGGUAUGGCAAGUCUGAUGUGAAAACCCGGGGCUCAACCCCGGGACUGCAUUGGAAACUGUCAAACUAGAGUGCAGGAGGGGUAAGUGGAAUUCCUAGUGUAGCGGUGAAAUGCGUAGAUAUUAGGAGGAACACCGGUGGCGAAGGCGGCUUACUGGACUGUAACUGACGUUGAGGCUCGAAAGCGUGGGGAGCAAACAGGAUUAGAUACCCUGGUA